CACACUUCUGCUUCUAUUCUUUCAACAUGGAAUGUUUACAUGUGGCACACACUGUUGGCGCUUUUCAAAUAAACUAGCAAUAGACCGCCUUUUCCUCAUGGACCUGUUGCGCCAAAUGGCAGAGACCCGCUGAAUCCAUGUUCACAAUGAAAAGAGAAUCAUGGUUUAGUUGGUUUGUAAUUGGCAAACAUAUAAGGUAACAAAUUUAAUGCCCUUAUGUUGAACAUAUGUGUAUUUUUGAGUAAUCUCCCAUUGCGCAAAAUGACAGAGACCCACUAAACACCAUUUGUGCUCUGAGAUAAAAAUCCAUUUAUCAGUAGCACUAUUUGUCUACUACAUGCUUCAUAAAAGUGUUUUAUUUGUUUAUAAAAUGUAUAUGAUUGCAGUCCUUUGAUAACCUAAUACAACAUGUAAGUACCAUCGACCACUGACAUGAAAAGGAAAGUAAAAUACUUCCAUUACUUUGGAAAUGACCUCAGGCUCAAGCCACACAUGUCAUUAGUUGAGCUCAUUGAGACUGAAUUUCCUGACUGACCAAUUACAUUAUCUCCACAGUUCUGCUUCUAUUCUUUCAACAUGGACUGUUUACAUGUGGCACACACUGUUGGCGCUUUUCAAAUAAGCUCGCAAUUGACCGCCUUUUCCUCAUGGACCCGUUGCGCCAAAUGGCAGAGACCCGCUGAAUCCAUGUUCACAUUGAAAAGAGAAUCAUGGUUUAGUUCGUUUGUUGUUGGCAAACAUAUAAGGUAACAAAUUUAAUGCCCUUUAAUAAUUUAAAAAACAUGGCUUGUUGUCUACAAAGAGAUGUACACAUCAUGUAUGUUCAAAAACAUGGCUCUUUGAACAUAUUACAUGACUCGGCAUCUUCUUGUAGGAAAGAAAAAAGCAAAGAGAGAAGCAUCGAGGAAUCAGUAUAACAAUUUAGAAAUACAAUUCCAUCGAAAUCUUGCAAAAUCAUAACAAAAUUUUUAGGAGUUAUGAACAAUUAGAAAUACAUUAUACUGAAGGUUGAGUAAAAUAUGUCUUUUGGAUUGAGCAAAUAUAUAGCUGCAGAAAUUUUGCAAAUUAACACAUAACAAGAAUCUACGACUCUCUAGACUCCUUUUCCCUGCUAAAUAUGCACGCUUUCCAUGUAAUUUUUUUCAAUAUAUUUGUUCUAUAAACAAAUGCUUGCUUUCUUUCCUUUUUUUGAAGCAGGUCGCAUGCCAUCAACAGCGCAACACCGAACAACCAGAGCCCAGUCACCACAAUCAUGCACGAGCAGCAAGCCAGCAAAAAAACACAACAGGUGCCCAGACACAUACACAUAACUAAGCCAAUAGUAACCAAACACACAACAAGAACUUGUAGCUAGCAAGCGAGCGCUAUGACCAACUAUGUAUGAUGCUACCACCAAGCCAGCCACAACAAUCAUGCACGCAACGGCAAGCCAGUAAAAAAAUACAAUGGGUGCCCGGACACACACAACACUAAGUCAGCAAGCACACACACAGCAAGAACCUGUAGCAAUCAAGCAGGGAGGAUAGGAGGACAGCUGGGACCAGAACAAAAUUACCUUGCUAGCGACGGGAUGCCUAGGCGGAAGCGACUGGAGGCGGCGGCAGCGGCGAGUCCAGGCAGCAGCUACGCGAGCAUGAGACAUGCAUUUCAUUAGUUGGUAAUGGAAGCAUCCAUCAUAUUCAUACAUACCUUCGUUUCUUUAUGAGCACUCCACUUCUCUGCCUCACCCUGUUGACCUCCACCUCAAUAACCUGGUCAAUCAACAACACAUGAUCCAUGGGGUGAUGAUAAACCUUAUAUAUAUAUAUACAUAUAUCUGAAAAUGGACGGGAGGCAGUGCGGAGUAUUAGAUCUCUGAACUCUGACGGGCUGAUGAGCCAAUGGAAGAAGGGGAUGGUGAGGGCAGCAUUGAACACGUAGGCCCAGCGCCGGAAGGGAGUUAUCACCUCAGCUCACCUAGGAAGCAACAACUUCCAUUUCCAAAAGAAAAAUGAUCAGGAAACGUAAGCCGCUAUUGGUUAGAUACCAGCAAAUGAUUAAUUGUUAAAGACUACUUUGGGAAUAAUCACUCUGAGCAAUAAACGGUAAUAAACAGAGAACAAAAAGGAACAAAACAAAGCCAGGUUUUUUCACCUAAAAGGAAUUGUCAAAUGCAGCGAUAGCAUGUUUGCAUUUUUUUUCCAAAUUGCACAUGAGCUUUGACUGUAGGGAAGAGAUAAAACUUCCCACAAACAAACAUCCAGUUAUGAUAACCGUGAUCUCAGGAAGAGUAGAAAGAUGCAUCUUAUACUCUAGAGUUCAGAUAUAUCAAAAAUUCAUUCCAUCUGACCUCUUUGGAGUUAAACUAAACAGUUGUUCUUAUCCUGUAACAUGCUACUACUUAGUUGCACCCCUCUUACUCCUGACACUACAAACUCCAGUUUAUGUGGCGUACUUUAUGCAUAUACAAACGAUGUAUAAAGCCUGAACAUGGCAAAAAAAUGCAAGGGAUUACCUGAAUAUAUGAUACUGCAGUACACCUAAUUUUCUAACUGAAAUUAAACCUACCACUUCCUGUUCUCAGAUUUUAGUUCAUUUAUAAACUCUGCAUUCUACUCAUACAAGCAUACCACAUCUAAUAUUCUGCUGUAACCCAUAUUAUUGUUACCUUACUAAAUUCAUAAUUAUUAUCAGUUUAUAAUGGAAAUAAAGUACCCUAAUGCAUCCCCUAUUAAAUGGCGUUACGAACCGCAAUGUAUGUGUGUAUUGAUAUGCUUACAAACAUGCUAUGAAGCAUGGAACCUGGCAAGAUAAAUGCAAAGGAUGCCCAACAGAACUCUUGCUCCAUGACCUUACUUAUAUUGUGGUUGCAGACUUGAGUCCCACUUUGCUGAACCUUUUGUACAUGAUGUU
This 2892-nucleotide long non-coding RNA is filed under the name Triticum aestivum (bread wheat). RNAcentral describes it as "long non-coding RNA (TAES_LNC022247)". Lineage: Eukaryota; Viridiplantae; Streptophyta; Magnoliopsida; Poales; Poaceae. The record is from RNAcentral.